This 1377-nucleotide ribosomal RNA is filed under the name bacterium E2-32. RNAcentral describes it as "partial 16S ribosomal RNA". It matches the Rfam family "Bacterial small subunit ribosomal RNA", at positions 34 to 1399 of the family's 1533-position model. The record is from RNAcentral.
GACUCUCUGCAGUGUACCAUGCAGUCGAGCGGAGCGGCAGAGUAUUGGCUACUUUUGCCGGCGAGCGGGGCACGGGAGAAUUAUGCCUGGAAAAUUGCCCACUCGAGGGGGAUAACAGGUGGAAUCAACUGCUAAUACCGCACAAGCCCUACGGGGGAAAGCGGGGGACCUUCGGGCCUUGCGCGAGUGGAUAUGCCCAGGUGGGAUUAGCUAGUUGGUGAGGUAAUGGCUCACCAAGGCCAAUAUCCCUAUGUGGUCUGAGAGGAAGAUCCCCCACACUGGAUCUGAGACGCGGUCCAGACUCCUACGGGAGGCAACAGUGGGAAAUAUUGCACUAUGGGGGAAACCCUGAUGCACACGUGCCGCGUGUGAAAAGAACGCCUUCGGGUUGUAAACCACUUUCUGCGAGGAAGAAACGUCCGGAGUUAAUACGUGUUGACUGACACGUUACUAGGAAAAAACACCCCGGAUAACUCCGUGCCCGCCCCCGCGGUUAUACGGAGGGUGCAAGCUUUAAUCACAUUUACUGGGCGUAACGCGCAUGCGUGCGGAUGAAUCUUUUUUAUGUAGAACCCCCGGUCUCAACGUGAGAAUCUGCAUGUAAAAUCUGUCCAGCGAGAGUCGUCGUAGAGGGGGGGUAGAUUUCCAGGUGUCGCGGAGAAAUGUGUAGAUAUCUGGGAGGAAUCCGGGUGGAGAGGGCGGCCCCGUGGACACAGACUGACGCUCAGGUGAGAAAGCGUGGGGAGCAAACAGGAUUAGAUCCCGUGAUAGUCCACGCUGUAAACGAUGUAGAUUUGGAGGGUGUGUCUUUGAGACGUGGCUUCCGGAUAUAACGCGUUAAAUCGACCGCCUGGGGAGUACGUCGCCAAGGUUAAAAUUCAAAUGAAUGGACGGGGGCCCGCACAAGCGGUGGAGCAUGUGGUUUAAUUCGAUGCAACGCGAAGACCCUUACCUGUCCUUGACAUCUCGGGAAUCUUGCAGAGAUGCUGGAGUGCCUUCGGAAAUCAGAACCAAGGGGUGCCAUGGCGUUGUUCAGUUCUUUUCUUGAGAGGUUGGGUUAAUUCCCGCAACGAGCGCACCCCCUUUCUUUUUUUCCCACCACGUAAUGGUGGGAAUUCAAGGGAGACUGCCGGUGAUAAACCGGAGGAAGGUGGGGAGGACGUCAAGUCAUCAUGGCCCUUACGGCCAGGGUUACACACUUGUUACAAUGGAGGGUACAGAGGGUUCCAAGCCAGGGAUAGUGAGCGAUUCCCAAAAAGCUCUUUCUAUUCGGGAUGGGAUUUUGCAAUUGGAUUCCAGGAAUUGGGAAUCGUUGGUAUUCGCAAUUCACAAUGUUGCGGUGAAUACGUUCCCGGGCCUUGUACACACCGCCCGUCA